Molecule: long non-coding RNA, 1257 nt
Organism: Bombus terrestris (buff-tailed bumblebee)
Lineage: Eukaryota; Metazoa; Arthropoda; Insecta; Hymenoptera; Apidae
Exons: 2
Source: RefSeq, a predicted model, not a curated record
UAGAACCGUGGCGAAAGAAUAACAAAUUAUUACGCGUGUACAUCCGAUCGUAUUUAUUCAACUCGGAACUGUGAUUGAAGUAGGCUUCAAUAUCACGGUUAAAUCAUACUACAGAUUUUAAAAAGAAAAACUUGUAAAUUCGUUUACAACCACUGAAAAUGAGAUAAACUGAUAUAGAACCGAAGAGCAAGAACAACAUGAAUUAGAAUGAUAUGUAGUGUGUAUUCGUGGAAACUGAAUGGUAACUGUAUUCGUAUUAGCAGACAGUGUAGAUUCGAAAAGAUCGCGAGAGACUUUGGAAGAGAUUUAUGAACGCUGGAAAUUAUAGUUCUUAUAGUUCUAGACGGAACUGGACCAAAUUCAACGAAACUGAAAGAAAACAAUGAAAUGUGGGAGGUAAAAUUACAAGGAAGGAGUUAUUAUAACGAAGGAAUUAAAGAAGAGCAACGAUGUGAAUUAAAAUGACAUAUAUACAGUAUGUAAUGUGAAUUUUGAUCGAAACCAUGCAUGAAAUUGGUGUGGAUCGAAAUAUUAAAGAACGCCAAAAAUUUCGAGAAAAUGGGUUUAUAAUUUAUAAAUUAAAAUACCAUAUACAAAGCUUCAAGUCUUCGCUACGGAAUGAAAAAUUGGUAAAAGACAAAAUAACAACGGUAUAAACAAAAAGAAAUUCGAGUAAGAACAGUGGAAAUAACUAGCUACAAAAGUACGCAUCAUUCAGUGAAAUAGACGUGAACAAUGACGAGUGAACCACAAAUCAAUCUUGUCGAUUUCGUAUAGAAUAAAACUCAUUUCUUAUUCGAGAAAAUCCAUGUCGAUUUUACGUAAUAGUCUCACCAAUUUAACGAGAAAGAAAUAAUUUCCUUACGGUAUUGUGAAAGGCAGUCUCGCCAUUGCACGUCCUCAAUAUCCACUAUAUUCUCUGCUUGGAUUUUAACAAAAAAAAAAAAGGAAAAGAAAGAACGAAGAUUUACAACUUCAGCUCAAUCUGCGAAUAAUCAUGUAAAAUAACGGAGGCGCAGGUUUUCUUUCGUAAUGAACAUCCUUUUAUUUCUGUCUUGUUGCUUUCAUGACAAGAAACGAAAGAAACUAUGGAAUUAUCGUUGUACGAAAACAAGGAUCGACGUUUUUCGGCUACCAUCUGAACACGAUAUGUUCGAAAUAUUGUACAGCGAACGAACAAUACGAAACUUUAAGGUUUCGUAACUUUAACAACGGGAAGAAUCGACGAAAAAACCGUUUAGAGAUCUACGCGCACCU